This 474-nucleotide ribosomal RNA is filed under the name uncultured bacterium. RNAcentral describes it as "partial 16S ribosomal RNA". It matches the Rfam family "Bacterial small subunit ribosomal RNA", at positions 28 to 507 of the family's 1533-position model. The record is from RNAcentral.
GAUGAACGCUAGCGGCAGGCCUAACACAUGCAAGUCGAGGGAGGAGCUUUCGGGCUUCGACCGGCGUACGGGUGCGUAACGCGUAUACAAUCUGCCUUUCACAUAGGGAUAGCCCGAAGAAAUUUGGAUUAAUACCUAGUGGUAUAUAGAGGUGGCAUCACCUUUAUAUUAAAGCUGAGGCGGUGAAAGAUGAGUAUGCGUUCUAUUAGCUAGUUGGAGAGGUAACGGCUCCCCAAGGCGACGAUAGAUAGGGGUUCUGAGAGGGAUAUCCCCCACACUGGUACUGAGAUACGGACCAGACUCCUACGGGAGGCAGCAGUGAGGAAUAUUGGACAAUGGUCGGAAGACUGAUCCAGCCAUGCCGCGUGCAGGAAGACGGCCUUAUGGGUUGUAAACUGCUUUUGCAGGGGAAGAAUAAGGACUACGCGUAGUUUGAUGACGGUACUCUGCGAAUAAGCAUCGGCUAACUCCGUG